GACGAACGCUGGCGGCGUGCUUAACACAUGCAAGUCGAACGGAAAGGCCCCCACCUUGGUGGGGGUGCUCGAGUGGCGAACGGGUGAGUAACACGUGGGUGAUCUGCCCUGUACUUCGGGAUAAGCUUGGGAAACUGGGUCUAAUACCGGAUAGGACCAUGGUUUAGUGUCUCAUGGUGGAAAAAUUAUUGUUUUGGUGCAGGAUGAGCUCGCGGCCUAUCAGCUUGUUGGUGGGGUAAUGGCCUACCAAGGCGUCGACGGGUAGCCGGCCUGAGAGGGUGGACGGCCACAGUGGGACUGAGAUACGGCCCAGACUCCUACGGGAGGCAGCAGUGGGGAAUAUUGCACAAUGGGCGCAAGCCUGAUGCAGCGACGCCGCGUGGGGGAUGACGGCCUUCGGGUUGUAAACUCCUUUCGUUAGGGACGAAGCCACACCUUUUUUGGGUGUGGUGACGGUACCUUUGUUAAGAAGCACCGGCUAACUACGUG
RNAcentral lists this ribosomal RNA (489 nucleotides) under uncultured bacterium. RNAcentral describes it as "partial 16S ribosomal RNA". It matches the Rfam family "Bacterial small subunit ribosomal RNA", at positions 28 to 507 of the family's 1533-position model. The record is from RNAcentral.